This 1663-nucleotide small RNA is filed under the name Pan troglodytes (chimpanzee). RNAcentral describes it as "retained intron". The record is from RNAcentral. Lineage: Eukaryota; Metazoa; Chordata; Mammalia; Primates; Hominidae.
UUGAAAUGAGACCUUUGCUCUGGAGUCUGGCAGGGCUCAGACCCUGCUCAGGACAAGCCCCUAGGACCAGUGGACACUGCCUGUGGUCCGAGUGGGUCCCUGUGCCCUGGGGCAGUUGGCCCAGGAAUGAGGCGGGUGGGGCGGGGGUGACAGAGGUGGGCCAAGGGGACACUACGGCUCUUUGGCACCCGGUCCUUGGUGGUCAGCACCCCGGUGAGGUGCACACGCCCACGGGGGCGCUUUCCCUGCUCGCAGGAGGAUGAGAUGCGCCCAGGAUUUCAACAAGCACCGAGAUCAGGCUGGGUAGGGCUGUGUGACUCCCGGCUGUCCCCCAGCCACCUGUGCUGCCCACGCGCUAGGCCCAUUUCUGCUGGUCCUGGAGGUGGGGCCCUGGGGGUGGGGGCCCUGGUGACCUCAGCGCCCCUCCUUGCUGUCCCCAGGGCUCCUCCUGGCUGCACGUUGGCACCGACCAGCCCUUCGCCUCCAUCUCCAUCGGGGCCUGCUACCAGGUGUGGGCCGUGGCAAGGGACGGCUCCGCCUUCUACCGGGGAUCCGUGUACCCCUCGCAGCCAGCCGGUGACUGCUGGUACCACAUCCCGUCCCCACCGAGACAGAGGCUGAAGCAGGUGUCCGUGGGGCAGACGUCGGUGUAUGCCCUGGAUGAGAAUGGAAACCUGUGGUAUCGCCAAGGGAUCACGCCCAGCUACCCGCAGGGCUCCAGCUGGGAGCACGUGUCCAACAACGUGUGCCGAGUGUCCGUGGGGCCCCUGGACCAGGUCUGGGUGAUCGCCAACAAAGUGCAGGGCAGCCACAGCCUGAGCCGGGGUACAGUGUGUCAUCGCACCGGCGUGCAGCCUCACGAGCCCAAGGGCCACGGCUGGGACUACGGCAUCGGGGGAGGCUGGGACCAUAUCUCUGUCCGGGCCAAUGCCACCAGGGCCCCCCGGAGCUCGUCCCAGGAGCAGGAGCCGAGUGCCCCACCAGAGGCCCAUGGCCCCGUCUGCUGCUGAGGCCCCCCCACACACCUACAUGCAGGGACGGUGCCCAGUUUGGGGGAUCAAGGCUGAGCCAUUCUUGUGCUGGAGUGUGCACCAUGGGAGCAAUGUGGCCCAGGUGGACUCAGGAGGGAACCUGGCCCCAAGGCUGCGGCCACUUCAGAGGCACUGGCUGAGACGGCCCUGAAAUGUGAAGCUCCGCGGACACUCCCGCACGUGUCCCCGUCUGCGAGGAGUCCCGGGGUGUGGGGCAUGGGGUGGGGCUGCACCUCCCAGAGGCCCCUCCCACCCUUCCCUUCCCCUCUCCCUUCUGCCUUUCCAGGACUAGAACCGGGAACCUGGAGCCCUCCGGGAACACCGGCCCUGGGGCAGCAGAGCCAGGAUGGAGCCCUCCUGAGCUGGCAUCUCAGACAGCACCCGGGCCCGCCACCCCUCACCAAGAGAGACGGCCAUGGGGCUCAGGGCCUCUUUACCAUGUGCAGUGACCAUUUCUCAGAGCAGGACUUGCAAAGAGGCUUUAAUUUCAAAAGUGAAGGAAGGAGGCCGGGCGCCGUGGCUCACGCCUGUAAUCCCAGCACUUUGGGAGGCUGAGGUGGGCAGAUCACCUAGGUCAAGAGUUUCAAACCAGACUGGCCAACAUAGUGAAACCCCAUCUCUACUAAAAAUAC